CAGGCAGAGGAGGCGCUGAGAGCGAGCAAGGGCUCUGAGGACUGUCAGCACGCUGUCACCUCUCACUAUUGUGAGACUUCACGUUGUGAUGGUCAAUCUAUCUAACAGCCUGUGGAUGAGGUCAAAGGAAAGAGGGAAGAAAGGAGAAAGGGGAGAAGGAAAGAACUUGAGGCUUUGAUGACCGUUGGAAUGCAGAGAAGCUAUGAGAAAAGAGCUACAAGAGAAAAAUGGCAGCAUUGCAAAGUGCAAGAACACUGAAGGGAUUAAACAGCAUUCUAGAAAACAAGACAGACCAUGAAGAGUAUGGGAAGAAACAGGAAGGCCUAUUUCCCGGUACCAUACCCAGAAGCUGUAUAAUAGGUGAUAUACAUUUGAGACCCAGGAGACUCAGCAUAUGGUGAAGGUUCACAGAGACACGUGCAGAUGGAGAAUACCACUGCUAAACUGGCAACACUUGGUUAAACACCAGAAUGGAUUACAUACAAUCAAUGCGAGGAACCUGGAAAUCAAGGCUGGAAAGAAGCCUUAA
This is a long non-coding RNA of Homo sapiens (human), 529 nucleotides long. RefSeq annotates it as DKK2 antisense RNA 1. The transcript has 5 exons. Lineage: Eukaryota; Metazoa; Chordata; Mammalia; Primates; Hominidae. The record is from RefSeq and is a predicted model, not a curated record.